AGAACGAACGCUGGCGGCAUGCCUAACACAUGCAAGUCGAACGAGACCUUCGGGUCUAGUGGCGCACGGGUGCGUAACGCGUGGGAAUCUGCCCUUGGGUUCGGGAUAACAGUUGGAAACGACUGCUAAUACCGGAUGAUGACUUCGGUCCAAAGAUUUAUCGCCCAAGGAUGAGCCCGCGUAGGAUUAGCUUGUUGGUGAGGUAAGAACUCACCAAGGCGACGAUCCUUAGCUGGUCUGAGAGGAUGAUCAGCCACACUGGGACUGAGACACGGCCCAGACUCCUACGGGAGGCAGCAGUGGGGAAUAUUGGACAAUGGGCGAAAGCCUGAUCCAGCAAUGCCGCGUGAGUGAUGAAGGCCUUAGGGUUGUAAAGCUCUUUACCCGGGAUGAUAAUGACAGUACCGGAGAAGUAACGCCCCGACUAACCGUCCGCGCCAGCAGCCGC
This 448-nucleotide ribosomal RNA is filed under the name uncultured soil bacterium. RNAcentral describes it as "bacterial SSU rRNA". It matches the Rfam family "Bacterial small subunit ribosomal RNA", at positions 26 to 518 of the family's 1533-position model. The record is from RNAcentral.